RNAcentral lists this ribosomal RNA (253 nucleotides) under uncultured bacterium. RNAcentral describes it as "partial 16S ribosomal RNA". It matches the Rfam family "Bacterial small subunit ribosomal RNA", at positions 524 to 776 of the family's 1533-position model. The record is from RNAcentral.
UACGUAGGAGGCAAGCGUUGUCCGGAAUUACUGGGUGUAAAGCGCGUGUAGGCGGCGGGCCAAGUCUGUGGUGAAAUCGCCCGGCUCAACUGGGCGGGGUCCAUGGAAACUGGUCAGCUGGAGGACGGUAGAGGUGAGUGGAAUUCCCGGUGUAGUGGUGAAAUGCGUAGAGAUCGGGAGGAACACCCGUGGCGAAGGCGGCUCACUGGGCCGGUCCUGACGCUGAGACGCGAAGGCGUGGGGAGCGAACGGG